UGGGGAAUAUUGGACAAUGGGGGCAACCCUGAUCCAGCCAUGCCGCGUGUGUGAAGAAGGCCUAGUGGUUGUAUAGCACUUUAUGCAGUGAAGAAGACCUAACGGUUAAUACCCGUUAGCGAUGACAUUAGCUGCAGAAUAAGCACCGGCUAACUCUGUGCCAGCAGCCGCGGUAAUACAGAGGGUGCAAGCGUUAAUCGGAAUUACUGGGCGUAAAGCGAGCGUAGGUGGCUUGAUAAGUCAGAUGUGAAAUCCCCGGGCAUAAUAUGGGAACUGCAUCUGAUACUGUUAGGCUAGAAUAGGUGAGAGGAAGGUAGAAUUCCAGGUGUAGCGGUGAAAUGCGUAGAGAUCUGGACAGAAUACCGAUGGCUAAGGCAGCCUUCUGCGAUCAUAUUGUGCCUGAGGUUCGAUAGCGUGGGUAGCAAAUAGGAUUAGAUACCUUGGUAGUCCACGCGGUAAACGAUGUCGACUAGUCGUUGGGUCCCUUGAGGACUUACGGACGCAGCUAUCGCAAUAAGAUGACCGCCUGGGGAGUACGGCCGCAAGGU
This 548-nucleotide ribosomal RNA is filed under the name uncultured Hyphomicrobium sp. RNAcentral describes it as "bacterial SSU rRNA". It matches the Rfam family "Bacterial small subunit ribosomal RNA", at positions 355 to 894 of the family's 1533-position model. Lineage: Bacteria; Pseudomonadati; Pseudomonadota; Alphaproteobacteria; Hyphomicrobiales; Hyphomicrobiaceae. The record is from RNAcentral.